CAGCAGCCACGGUAAUACGUAGGGUGCGAGCGUUAAUCGGAAUUACUGGGCGUAAAGCGUGCGCAGGCGGUUGUGUAAGACAGGUGUGAAAUCCCCGGGCUUAACCUGGGAACUGCGCUUGUGACUGCACAGCUAGAGUAUGGCAGAGGGGGGUGGAAUUCCACGUGCAGCAGUGAAAUGCGUAGAGAUGUGGAGGAACACCGAUGGCGAAGGCAGCCCCCUGGGCCAAUACUGACGCUCAUGCACGAAAGCGUGGGGAGCAAACAGGAUUAGAUACCCGAGUAGUCCCUGUCUCUUAUAC
This 301-nucleotide ribosomal RNA is filed under the name uncultured bacterium. RNAcentral's name for it is "partial 16S ribosomal RNA". It matches the Rfam family "Bacterial small subunit ribosomal RNA", at positions 509 to 807 of the family's 1533-position model. The record is from RNAcentral.